Molecule: ribosomal RNA, 492 nt
Filed under: uncultured bacterium
Lineage: Bacteria
Description: partial 16S ribosomal RNA
Rfam family: Bacterial small subunit ribosomal RNA
Source: RNAcentral
AUUGAACGCUGGCGGCAUGCUUUACACAUGCAAGUCGAACGGUAACAGGCCUUCGGGUGCUGACGCGUGGCGAACGGGUGAGUAAUACAUCGGAACGUGCCCUGCCGUGGGGGAUAACGCAGCGAAAGCUUUGCUAAUAUCGCAUAUGAUCUGAGGAUGAGAGCGUGGGAGCUGGUGGCAAUGUUUGGCCUGUCGGGCCUGUAGCCGCCGAUGUUCGAGUUGGUAGUUGGGGGGUUAAAGCCCUACCAAUCCGACGAUCUGCAGCCGGUGUGAGAGGACGAUAAGCGACACGGGAACUGAGACACGGCCCAGACGCCUACGGGAGGCAGCAGUGGGGAAUUGUGGACAAUGGGCGGAAGCCUGAUCCAGCGAUGCCGCGUGCGGGAAGAAGGCCUUCGGGUUGUAAAGCGCUUUUGUGCGGAACGAAAAGCAUCUGGCUAAUACCUAGGGGUCAUGACGGUACCGUAAGAAUAAGCACCGGCUAACUACGUG